GAUGAACGCUGGCGGAGUGCCUAAUACAUGCAAGUCGAGCGAAAAGACGAGGAGCUUGCUCCUCUGACGUUAGCGGCGGACGGGUGAGUACCACGAGGAUAACCUACAUAUCAGACUGGGAUAACUUCGGGAGAACGGUGAUACUACAGGAUAAUAUAUUGAACCGCAUGGUUCAAUAGAGAAAGACGGUUUUGCUGUCAAUUAUAGAUGGAUCCGCGCCGCAUUAGCUAGUUGGUAAGGUACCGGCUUACCAAGGCAACGAUGCGUAGCCGACCGGAGAGGGUGAUCCGCCACACUGGAACUGAGACACGGUCCAGACGCCUACGGGAGGCAGCAGUAGGGAAUCUUCCGCAAUGGGCGAAAGCCUUACGGAGCAACGCCGCGUGUGUGAUGAAGGUCUUCGGAUCGUAAAACUCUGUUAUUAGGGAAGAACAAUUGUGUAAGUAGCUAUGCACGUCUUGACGGUACCAAAACAAAAAGCCACGGCUAACUACGUG
RNAcentral lists this ribosomal RNA (497 nucleotides) under uncultured bacterium. Its description in RNAcentral is "partial 16S ribosomal RNA". It matches the Rfam family "Bacterial small subunit ribosomal RNA", at positions 28 to 507 of the family's 1533-position model. The record is from RNAcentral.